Molecule: ribosomal RNA, 1905 nt
Filed under: human gut metagenome
Description: bacterial LSU rRNA
Rfam family: Bacterial large subunit ribosomal RNA
Source: RNAcentral
GCCUCGGGUAGGUGCAAAUAACCCUUGAUCCGAGGAUUUCCGAAUGGGACAACCCGGCCGUCUGAAGGACGGUCACUAUGCAAUGGCAUAGGGCAAACGCAGGGAACUGAAACAUCUUAGUACCUGCAGGAAGAGAAAAUAAGUUAAUGAUUCCCCCAGUAGUGGCGAGCGAACGGGGAAGAGCCCAAACCAUGAUUGUAGCAAUGCAACCAUGGGGUUGUAGGACCACGCUGUAGCACGAUAGUUGUGAGAAGAACGUUCUGGAAAGAACGGCCAUAGACGGUGAUAGCCCGGUAAUCGAAGCAAGUUGAAGCUUAGUGGUAUCCUGAGUAACGCGGAACACGAGAAAUUCUGCGCGAAUCUGCCGGGACCAUCCGGUAAGGCUAAAUACUCCCGUGAGACCGAUAGCGAACGAGUACCGUGAGGGAAAGGUGAAAAGAACCCCGAGCAGGGGAGUGAAAGAGAUCCUGAACCCUUGCGCCUACAAGCGGUCGGAGCUGCUUAAUGCAGUGACGGCGUGCCUUUUGCAUAAUGAACCUACGAGUUACCAUCACAGGCAAGGUUAAGUCUCAUGAGGGACGCAACCGCAGUGAAAGCGAGGCUGAACAGGCCGUCGAGUCUGUGGGGGUAGACGCGAAACCAAGUGAUCUACACUUGUCCAGGUUGAAGUCCCGGUAACACGGGAUGGAGGACCGAACCAAUAAGCGUUGAAAAGCUUCUGGAUGAGAUGAGUGUAGGAGUGAAAGGCCAAUCAAACUUGGAGAUAGCUCGUACUCCCCGAAAGGCAUUUAGGUGCCGCGUCGGACGUUCAGCGUGAGAGGUAGAGCGACCGAUAGGACAAGAGGGCUUCACCGCCUAUCGAGUCCUGACGAACUCCGAAUGCUCACGCUCCGCAGUCCGGCAGUAAGGGGACGGGUGCUAAGGUCCGUUCCCGAGAGGAGAAGAAUCCAGACCGCCGUCUAAGGUCCCGGAAUUCUGUCUAAGUUAGUCUAACGAAGUGGGGUCUCAGUGACAGCCAGGAUGUUGGCUUGGAAGCAGCCAUUCAUUCAAAGAGUGCGUAACAGCUCACUGGUCGAGAGUCCCUGCAUGGAUAAUAAUCGGGUAUAAGACAGAUACCGAAGGCGCGGGAUAGCAGAGAAAUGAAAAGUAUCGGUAGGGGAGCAUUCCAUAUCCGUCGAAUGGUGCGGGUAACUGAUCCUGGAGGAUAUGGAAAAGCAAAUGUAGGUAUAAGUAACGAUAAGGAGGGUAAGAUUCCCUCCCGCCGCAAGACUAAGGUUUCCCGGGCAAUGUCAAUCAUCCCGGGGUCAGUCGGGUCCUAAGUCUCAGCCGAACGGCGAGGGCGAUGGCAGACACGGUCAACAUUCCGUGACUACCUUUAGGAGCGAUGCGGAGACGGAGCAGUGACACUUCCGCGAACCGACGGAAUGGUUCGUUGAAGAGUGUAGACGUAGAUCACGGUAGGCAAAUCCGCCGUGAGAGUCGAACUUGAAAGUACAGGGUCCUCUUCGGAGGAACUUGAUAGCGAAGGUAAGCAUACUCCCGAGAAAAUCCGCUAAGCAAUCCUAAAGGUACCCGUACCGCAAACGGACACACGUAGUCGGGUAGAACAUACUAAGGCGUUGAGAGAUUCAUGGUUAAGGAACUAGGCAAACUGACCCCGUAACUUCGGGAUAAGGGGUCCUCGUGAUGAGCGAGGCGCAGAGAAUAGGUCCAGGCAACUGUUUAACAAAAACACAGGGCUGUGCGAACUCGAAAGAUGAAGUAUACAGCCUGACACCUGCCCGGUGCCGGAAGGUUAAGAGGAGAUGUCAACCUUUGUGGCGAAGCAUUGAAUUGAAGCCCCGGUAAACGGCGGCCGUAACUAUAACGGUCCUAAGGUAGCGAAAUUCCUUGUCGGGUAAGUUC